This 2641-nucleotide ribosomal RNA is filed under the name Escherichia coli. Its description in RNAcentral is "partial 23S ribosomal RNA". It matches the Rfam family "Bacterial large subunit ribosomal RNA", at positions 296 to 2925 of the family's 2925-position model. Lineage: Bacteria; Pseudomonadati; Pseudomonadota; Gammaproteobacteria; Enterobacterales; Enterobacteriaceae. The record is from RNAcentral.
AGCCCAGAGCCUGAAUCAGUGUGUGUGUUAGUGGAAGCGUCUGGAAAGGCGCGCGAUACAGGGUGACAGCCCCGUACACAAAAAUGCACAUGCUGUGAGCUCGAUGAGUAGGGCGGGACACGUGGUAUCCUGUCUGAAUAUGGGGGGACCAUCCUCCAAGGCUAAAUACUCCUGACUGACCGAUAGUGAACCAGUACCGUGAGGGAAAGGCGAAAAGAACCCCGGCGAGGGGAGUGAAAAAGAACCUGAAACCGUGUACGUACAAGCAGUGGGAGCCUCUUUAUGGGGUGACUGCGUACCUUUUGUAUAAUGGGUCAGCGACUUAUAUUCUGUAGCAAGGUUAACCGAAUAGGGGAGCCGAAGGGAAACCGAGUCUUAACUGGGCGUUAAGUUGCAGGGUAUAGACCCGAAACCCGGUGAUCUAGCCAUGGGCAGGUUGAAGGUUGGGUAACACUAACUGGAGGACCGAACCGACUAAUGUUGAAAAAUUAGCGGAUGACUUGUGGCUGGGGGUGAAAGGCCAAUCAAACCGGGAGAUAGCUGGUUCUCCCCGAAAGCUAUUUAGGUAGCGCCUCGUGAAUUCAUCUCCGGGGGUAGAGCACUGUUUCGGCAAGGGGGUCAUCCCGACUUACCAACCCGAUGCAAACUGCGAAUACCGGAGAAUGUUAUCACGGGAGACACACGGCGGGUGCUAACGUCCGUCGUGAAGAGGGAAACAACCCAGACCGCCAGCUAAGGUCCCAAAGUCAUGGUUAAGUGGGAAACGAUGUGGGAAGGCCCAGACAGCCAGGAUGUUGGCUUAGAAGCAGCCAUCAUUUAAAGAAAGCGUAAUAGCUCACUGGUCGAGUCGGCCUGCGCGGAAGAUGUAACGGGGCUAAACCAUGCACCGAAGCUGCGGCAGCGACGCUUAUGCGUUGUUGGGUAGGGGAGCGUUCUGUAAGCCUGCGAAGGUGUGCUGUGAGGCAUGCUGGAGGUAUCAGAAGUGCGAAUGCUGACAUAAGUAACGAUAAAGCGGGUGAAAAGCCCGCUCGCCGGAAGACCAAGGGUUCCUGUCCAACGUUAAUCGGGGCAGGGUGAGUCGACCCCUAAGGCGAGGCCGAAAGGCGUAGUCGAUGGGAAACAGGUUAAUAUUCCUGUACUUGGUGUUACUGCGAAGGGGGGACGGAGAAGGCUAUGUUGGCCGGGCGACGGUUGUCCCGGUUUAAGCGUGUAGGCUGGUUUUCCAGGCAAAUCCGGAAAAUCAAGGCUGAGGCGUGAUGACGAGGCACUACGGUGCUGAAGCAACAAAUGCCCUGCUUCCAGGAAAAGCCUCUAAGCAUCAGGUAACAUCAAAUCGUACCCCAAACCGACACAGGUGGUCAGGUAGAGAAUACCAAGGCGCUUGAGAGAACUCGGGUGAAGGAACUAGGCAAAAUGGUGCCGUAACUUCGGGAGAAGGCACGCUGAUAUGUAGGUGAAGCGACUUGCUCGUGGAGCUGAAAUCAGUCGAAGAUACCAGCUGGCUGCAACUGUUUAUUAAAAACACAGCACUGUGCAAACACGAAAGUGGACGUAUACGGUGUGACGCCUGCCCGGUGCCGGAAGGUUAAUUGAUGGGGUUAGCGGUAACGCGAAGCUCUUGAUCGAAGCCCCGGUAAACGGCGGCCGUAACUAUAACGGUCCUAAGGUAGCGAAAUUCCUUGUCGGGUAAGUUCCGACCUGCACGAAUGGCGUAAUGAUGGCCAGGCUGUCUCCACCCGAGACUCAGUGAAAUUGAACUCGCUGUGAAGAUGCAGUGUACCCGCGGCAAGACGGAAAGACCCCGUGAACCUUUACUAUAGCUUGACACUGAACAUUGAGCCUUGAUGUGUAGGAUAGGUGGGAGGCUUUGAAGUGUGGACGCCAGUCUGCAUGGAGCCGACCUUGAAAUACCACCCUUUAAUGUUUGAUGUUCUAACGUUGGCCCCUAAUCGGGGUUGCGGACAGUGUCUGGUGGGUAGUUUGACUGGGGCGGUCUCCUCCUAAAGAGUAACGGAGGAGCACGAAGGUUGGCUAAUCCUGGUCGGACAUCAGGAGGUUAGUGCAAUGGCAUAAGCCAGCUUGACUGCGAGCGUGACGGCGCGAGCAGGUGCGAAAGCAGGUCAUAGUGAUCCGGUGGUUCUGAAUGGAAGGGCCAUCGCUCAACGGAUAAAAGGUACUCCGGGGAUAACAGGCUGAUACCGCCCAAGAGUUCAUAUCGACGGCGGUGUUUGGCACCUCGAUGUCGGCUCAUCACAUCCUGGGGCUGAAGUAGGUCCCAAGGGUAUGGCUGUUCGCCAUUUAAAGUGGUACGCGAGCUGGGUUUAGAACGUCGUGAGACAGUUCGGUCCCUAUCUGCCGUGGGCGCUGGAGAACUGAGGGGGGCUGCUCCUAGUACGAGAGGACCGGAGUGGACGCAUCACUGGUGUUCGGGUUGUCAUGCCAAUGGCACUGCCCGGUAGCUAAAUGCGGAAGAGAUAAGUGCUGAAAGCAUCUAAGCACGAAACUUGCCCCGAGAUGAGUUCUCCCUGACUCCUUGAGAGUCCUGAAGGAACGUUGAAGACGACGACGUUGAUAGGCCGGGUGUGUAAGCGCAGCGAUGCGUUGAGCUAACCGGUACUAAUGAACCGUGAGGCUUAACCUU